RNAcentral lists this long non-coding RNA (958 nucleotides) under Hordeum vulgare. RNAcentral describes it as "long non-coding RNA (HVUL_LNC010405)". Lineage: Eukaryota; Viridiplantae; Streptophyta; Magnoliopsida; Poales; Poaceae. The record is from RNAcentral.
CUAGAUCAAUUUGUAAUUUUUGUACAUUGAAUUUUAGAAUACUUCUAUCCAUUUUGGCCUGUAGAAAAUACGGUGUUGGCAAAGAUUGAUAUUGUGUUCUUCUGAUUGACGGUAUCAAAAUUUCUUACAAAAAGCAGAGAGAUUUCUUGGUAGAGACUGUGCCAUCUCUUGAUCGUCUAGUUCUGCAGCAAAGCGUUCUCUUGUGGUAACCGUCAUGGGGGACGGAACGUGAUGCGCCAGUAUGCUGUAUACACCUGAAAAAUCUAGAAAGGAAGGAAAAAGUCACGUUACAUAAAUCUGGAAAGAAGGAAAGAUGGGUCACGUUGCAUAUUUUUCUACAGCAAUUCAUCCGCUUAAAAGCCUGGACCCGGACGGUGACGUGUGUGGUGUGUCACGGCAUGAUCAAUCAGUGUGCGUACAUGCAUCACCUAGGCAUCCAGGUGAGAGGUGACGGCUAGCUGCAUACAUGUCAUUUGUUACUGCCAAAAGAAUCGUCCAUCAGCAUAUAGACUUUCAUCAGAAAAAUCUCCGGAUCGGAAUUUCCCCAAUGCUUCUGGUUGCGGCAGCUAUCUCGACGGGGCAACAAAAUUCAAGGCAUUUAUUCAGGAAAUCAUCGAGAGACAGAGACCAAUGUCAAGACGACUCACAUCUGGGAUGACGGAAGACCUAGUUAUCCUUCAUGAACGAUUGUCACUGAGGGAGCUCUUCAUCCCCUGCAGCACCUGGGUUCGAGCUGUGUUGCGGUUCGUAGACGACCAUGCGGGUGGAAGAGCUCACUCAAUGGUGAUGAUAUAGAAAAUCACCGCUAUCAGCCACAGGUAAAAGAGCAGAAUUGGAAGGAAGGAGGAGGCAGCGGACAUGUAGAGCCGUCGGCGGUGAUGUUUUUCUUUUCGGUUUUGUAUCCUCGAGCAAGGUUACAUAGAGCAAUGUUCUGUCAGCUGGAUCAUGAAAGCUUUUC